This 496-nucleotide ribosomal RNA is filed under the name uncultured bacterium. RNAcentral describes it as "partial 16S ribosomal RNA". It matches the Rfam family "Bacterial small subunit ribosomal RNA", at positions 29 to 507 of the family's 1533-position model. The record is from RNAcentral.
AUGAACGCUGGCGGCGUGCCUAAUACAUGCCAGUCGAGCGAACAGACGAGGAGCUUGCUCCUUUGACGUUAGCGGCGGACGGGUGAGUAACACGUAGGUAACCUACCUAUAAGACUGGGAUAACUUCGGGAAACCGGAGCUAAUACCGGAUAAUAUUUCGAACCGCCUGGUUCGAUAGUGAAAGAUGGCUUUGCUAUCACUUAUAGAUGGACCUGCGCCGUAUUAGCUAGUUGGUAAGGUAACGGCUUACCAAGGCAACGAUACGUAGCCGACCUGAGAGGGUGAUCGGCCACACUGGAACUGAGACACGGUCCAGACUCCUACGGGAGGCAGCAGUAGGGAAUCUUCCGCAAUGGGCGAAAGCCUGACGGAGCAACGCCGCGUGAGUGAUGAAGGUCUUCGGAUCGUAAAACUCUGUUAUUAGGGAAGAACAAACGUGUAAGUAACUGUGCACGUCUUGACGGUACCUAAUCAGAAAGCCACGGCUAACUACGUG